ACCUGAAGAAAAAGUACUAUGAGGAACCGAGGAAGGGGAUACAGGCUGAAGAGAUUCUGCAGACAUACUUGAAAUCCAAGGAGUCUAUGACUGAUGCAAUUCUCCAGACAGACCAGACUCUCACAGAAAAAGAAAAGGAGAUUGAAGGUGAGGAGUGAGUUAAGAGAUUAGAUGGCCUCAAAAGCUCCAAAAAUUGAAAUAACUUGACUGGAUAAACAUGGGACCCUUUAACUAGAGCAAGAUCCACAAAGGUGUGUCUUACUUGCCGAGGUCAUCUCUGAGUAGGGCAUAUGCAGUCAGCAACAACGACAGGUAAGUGUAUAAGGAAGAAUGAGGCAACAAGAUAACCCCACACAAAUUUUUCUUCUGCCUUUUCCUCCUCAGUGGAACGUGUGAAAGCUGAGUCUGCACAGGCUUCAGCAAAAAUGUUGCAGGAAAUGCAAAGAAAGAAUGAGCAGAUGAUGGAACAGAAGGAGAGGAGUUAUCAGGAACACUUGAAACAACUGACUGAGAAGAUGGAGAACGACAGGGUCCAGUUGCUGAAAGAGCAAGAGAGGACCCUCGCUCUUAAACUUCAGGAACAGGAGCAACUACUAAAAGAGGGAUUUCA
RNAcentral lists this long non-coding RNA (610 nucleotides) under Homo sapiens (human). RNAcentral's name for it is "non-protein coding lnc-GBP3-1:1". Lineage: Eukaryota; Metazoa; Chordata; Mammalia; Primates; Hominidae. The record is from RNAcentral.